RNAcentral lists this ribosomal RNA (495 nucleotides) under uncultured bacterium. RNAcentral's name for it is "bacterial SSU rRNA". It matches the Rfam family "Bacterial small subunit ribosomal RNA", at positions 899 to 1397 of the family's 1533-position model. The record is from RNAcentral.
ACUCAAAUGAAUUGACGGGGGCCCGCACAAGCAGUGGAUUAUGUGGUUUAAUUCGAAGCAACGCGAAGAACCUUACCAGGGCUUGACAUCCAACUAACGAGGCAGAGAUGCAUUAGGCGCCCUUCGGGGAAAGUUGAGACAGGUGGUGCAUGGUUGUCGUCAGCUCGUGUCGUGAGAUGUUGGGUUAAGUCCCGCAACGAGCGCAACCCUUAUUGCUAGUUGCUACGCAAGAGCACUCUAGCGAGACUGCCGUUGACAAAACGGAGGAAGGCGGGGACGAGGUCAAAUCAUCAUGCCCCUUAUGUCCUGGGCUACACACGUAAUACAAUGGCGCAUAACAGAGGGAAGCAAGACCGCGAGGUGGAGCAAAUCCCAAAAAGGCGUCCCAGUUCGGAUCGCAGGCUGAAACCCGCCUGCGUGAAGCCGGAAUUGCUAGUAAUCGCGGAUCAGCAUGCCGCGGUGAAUACGUUCCCGGGCCUUGCACACACCGCCCGU